RNAcentral lists this ribosomal RNA (253 nucleotides) under uncultured bacterium. RNAcentral describes it as "partial 16S ribosomal RNA". It matches the Rfam family "Bacterial small subunit ribosomal RNA", at positions 524 to 776 of the family's 1533-position model. The record is from RNAcentral.
UACGAAGGGUGCAAACGUUGCUCGGAAUUAUUGGGCGUAAAGCGCACGUAGGCGGUUUUUCAAGUCGGAUGUGAAAUCCUUAGGCUCAACCAAAGAAGUGCAUUCGAAACUGAGAGACUUGAGUAUGGAAGGGGGUCGUGGAAUUCCCGGUGUAGAGGUGAAAUUCGUAGAGAUCGGGAGGAACACCAGUGGCGAAGGCGACGACCUGGGCCAAUACUGACGCUGAGGUGCGAAAGCGUGGGGAGCAAACAGG